CAAGUCGAACGAUGAAGCUGGAGCUUGCUCUAGUGGAUUAGUGGCGAACGGGUGAGUAACACGUGAGCAAUCUGCCCUUGACUCUGGGAUAACUGCGGGAAACUGUAGCUAAUACCGGAUACGACACCUUGGGGCAUCCCGAGGUGUGGAAAGAAUUUCGGUCAAGGAUGAGCUCGCGGCCUAUCAGCUUGUUGGUGAGGUAAAAGCUCACCAAGGCGACGACGGGUAGCCGGCCUGAGAGGGUGACCGGCCACACUGGAACUGAGAUACGGUCCAGACUCCUACGGGAGGCUGCAGUGGGGAAUAUUGCACAAUGGGCGCAAGCCUGAUGCAGCAACGCCGCGUGAGGGAUGAAGGCCUUCGGGUUGUAAACCUCUUUUAUCAGGGAAGAAGCGAAAGUGACGGUACCUGAAGAAAAAGCACCGGCUAACUACGUGCCAGCAGCCGCGGUAAUACGUAGGGUGCAAGCGUUGUCCGGAAUUAUUGGGCGUAAAGAGCUCGUAGGCGGUUUGUCGCGUCUGCUGUGAAAAUCCAAGGCUCAACCUUGGACCUGCAGUGGGUACGGGCAGACUAGAGUGCGGUAGGGGAGAUGGGAAUUCCUGGUGUAGCGGUGGAAUGCGCAGAUAUCAGGAGGAACACCAAUGGCGAAGGCACAUCUCUGGGCCGUAACUGACGCUGAGGAGCGAAAGCGUGGGGAGCGAACAGGAUUAGAUACCCUGGUAGUCCACGCCGUAAACGGUGGGUGCUAGUUGUGGGCCACAUUCCACGUGGUCCGUGACGAAGUUAACACAUUAAGCACCCCGCCUGGGGAGUACGGUCGCAAGACUAAAACUCAAAGGAAUUGACGG
RNAcentral lists this ribosomal RNA (848 nucleotides) under uncultured bacterium. RNAcentral's name for it is "bacterial SSU rRNA". It matches the Rfam family "Bacterial small subunit ribosomal RNA", at positions 58 to 916 of the family's 1533-position model. The record is from RNAcentral.